Molecule: ribosomal RNA, 301 nt
Filed under: uncultured bacterium
Lineage: Bacteria
Description: partial 16S ribosomal RNA
Rfam family: Bacterial small subunit ribosomal RNA
Source: RNAcentral
CAGUCGCCGCGGUAAUACGGAGGGUGCAAGCGUUAAUCGGAAUUACUGGGCGUAAAGCGCACGCAGGCGGUCUGACAAGUCAGAUGUGAAAUCCCCGGGCUUAACCUGGGAACUGCAUUUGAAACUGUCAGGCUGGAGUCUUGUAGAGGGGGGUGGAAUUCCAGGUGUAGCGGUGAAAUGCGUAGAGAUCUGGAGGAAUACCGGUGGCGAAGGCGGCCCCCUGGACAAAGACUGACGCUCAGGUGCGAAAGCGUGGGGAGCAAACAGGAUUAGAUACCCGUGUAGUCCCUGUCUCUUAUAU